This is a long non-coding RNA of Marmota monax (woodchuck), 931 nucleotides long. RefSeq lists it as uncharacterized. The transcript has 3 exons. NCBI's taxonomy places the organism in Eukaryota, Metazoa, Chordata, Mammalia, Rodentia, Sciuridae. The record is from RefSeq and is a predicted model, not a curated record.
CACAUGGAGCAUGCCCACAUCAAACCUGCAUGACACUGGGGUGGGGCAGAGGAGUUCUGGAGCCCCAGGCGCAAGGGAGAGAAGGGCACACCCUGGGAACCAUCCCAGGCUGGGACCAGAGGCCCCAGGAAGAAAGGAUGGUAGACAAGACCAGCACCCCAGGCAGCUCAGCACAAAAGAUAGCAUGUGUGGCAGGUUCCGGGACAUAAAUGGCAUUGUGCAUUCAUGUGUGAGCUUGUGUGCCUCAAGGGGUUGUGGCAUGUUGGGACAGUAUGUAUGUGCUAUGCACACGUGCCUUCAAAGCACACGAGUGUACAUGUGGCAUGCAUAAUUGGAGCUUUAUACCAUCUGCAGAGCUUGAAGCCUGUUCUCCAAUUGGAAAUGACAAAACCUGCAGCCUGAAUUUCUCUUGUCUUCCAAGGAGGGGCUGGCGAGAGGCAGGACCCUAGAAGAUGAGUUCAGAGAUGGCAGGAUGCUGUCUGACCUCUGUGGUCCCCAGCACUUGAAUGUGUGGGUGAAGCCAAGGAUCGGUAUGUUGCCAUCCUUCUGACCAGCAUCACAGUGAAGCCAGACUUGGCCAGGGAUUCUUGAGUCUGCCAUGGUGUGGAAUCUUGGACAAGCCAGACAACAAUUCUGGGUCUCGAUUCCAAAACAACUGACUGCGUUCUCUGAUUUUAGUUUCAUGGCUGUGGGUUGGAUGCAGGCUGAAGACCAAGAAACAGACCUGUGUUCAACUACUGGGAUCCAAUCAAUGGCACAAAUAUCAGCCACUGACUGUAAAUAUCCAGGUUACAUAGAUACGUGGAACCACAUAUGUGAAAUAAACGAAAAAGAAAAAUGCAGAAUAGUAAGUGCACAUUGACUGUAAUGAUGCAAAAAUCUUCCAUUUAGGAUGGUUUCCCCAGCAGAUGGCAGAUUCCAGGGGAGUUAA